RNAcentral lists this ribosomal RNA (465 nucleotides) under uncultured bacterium. Its description in RNAcentral is "bacterial SSU rRNA". It matches the Rfam family "Bacterial small subunit ribosomal RNA", at positions 339 to 796 of the family's 1533-position model. The record is from RNAcentral.
GUACGGGAGGCAGCAGUGGGGAAUUUUGCGCAAUGGACGAAAGUCUGACGCAGCAACGCCGCGUGGGUGAUGAAGGUCUUCGGACUGUAAAACCCUGUCGUCAGGGACGAAGGUUGGGGGGUUAAUAACCCUUCAGCUUGACGGUACCUGGAGAGGAAGCCCCGGCUAACUCUGUGCCAGCAGCCGCGGUAAUACAGAGGGGGCAAGCGUUAUUCGGAAUUAUUGGGCGUAAAGGGCGCGUAGGCGGUUUUUUAAGUCAGAUGUGUAAUCCCCGAGCUCAACUUGGGAACUGCAUCUGAGACUGGAAGGCUAGAGUACUGGAGAGGGUGGUGGAAUUCCUCGUGUAGCGGUGAAAUGCGUAGAGAUGAGGAGGAACACCAGUGGCGAAGGCGGCCACCUGGACAGUAACUGACGCUGAGGCGCGAAAGUGUGGGUAGCAAACAGGAUUAGAUACCCGCGUAGUCC